AAGCGAGUGUAAAAUAAUUAUAUUCAGUGAAAAAUGCAUUUCCACUUUUAAUUCCAGCACUUCUUCCUAGGUAGUCAAUUUCAUGUCAUCAUGUGGCUAAUAUGGUCGCUGGUAGGUCUAGAUGGUGUACUUAAUGGUAGAUAGAAUUUGAUUUUUGACAAAAUGUUGGCAGGGCCGAAUAGCAAUUUGCAGUCUUCACCUUAGAGUUCAGUAAUGUUCUGCAUUUUUUCAUUUGUUGGGAGUGACAUACCAUUAAGUACUUCUCUACUCAGGAGAUUAAAUUCGUUGGAAUCGAAUUGUAAUACUAAUAAGGCUGUCCAGGUUUUGUUUUUAUACUAGUCAAUUAUUUGCGUUUUUAUACUGCAUACUUCCGUACUAUUCAUGAUUUGAGAUUGCUGUAAUUUGAAAUCAUUUCUCCAACAUAUUUAUUUAAUAAUCAAUAACUAAUUAACUAUAACUAUCUGUUCUCUGUGGUGGCAAAUCCACAUUAGGGAAGUGAUUGAAGGUUUUGCUAUUAUCACCGUCAAAAUAUUCCUGUCUUAAUCAAAUAGCUUUUGUCCCAGUUCCUUUUCUUUUUAGCUCGACUUGUGGAGCUGCAAUUGAAAAUGAGACAGAUUGUGUCAAGGCAUUAUUAUUUUUUUGAAAAAAUUGGAAAAUGGCGUCGGAUUCAACCAGCUCUUCGUCCACCUCUAAUCUUAAGCGCCAGAAGUUGAACUUGACACAGAAAUGCUGAAGAAAAGAAGAGGUGCAGAUCUAAAAAAAAGAAAAGAAACCAUGAAAUAGAAAGAACUAAAGAAGAAGAAGAGAAGGAGGAGUCUUUUGUUUGUCAGAUGAAUUUACACUGUGAUUGUGAGAAGGAGUCGAUACCGCUUGACAUUACUAGGACAUUGAAAUGUGCAAAAAUCAAAUAUUGGAAGCAGGACUUGUUUAAAGGGUGAUAGUUGAAAAAAAAUCAAACUUUGUACGGUGUGUAAAUUUGUUGAAAAGUGGGAAAGCAUGAUAAUGCUAGAAAAUCAAAAUACCCAUUUUAAA
This is a non-coding RNA of Cicer arietinum (chickpea), 1032 nucleotides long. The record is from RefSeq and is a predicted model, not a curated record. Lineage: Eukaryota; Viridiplantae; Streptophyta; Magnoliopsida; Fabales; Fabaceae.